AGCACUAUUAACUCGUUGGACAAUGUUAUUCUGUCGUUGGGCGAGAAUUGAUGUUUGUUAGGUGAGUCUGUCAAUCUAAGAAUGUGAAAAUGGGUAAUUAAUCAUGUUUUCGCAAGGGUUUUGGAUAUGUUUUUUUUUCUCUCACACUUCAUUCUUCCCCUAAAGCGACUGAGAGAGACCCUUUGAGGAUAUUUGGGGUACUAAGAAGCUCUCUCUUCUCCUCCUUGG
Molecule: long non-coding RNA, 228 nt
Filed under: Vigna radiata
Lineage: Eukaryota; Viridiplantae; Streptophyta; Magnoliopsida; Fabales; Fabaceae
Description: long non-coding RNA (VRAD_LNC003342)
Source: RNAcentral